Molecule: small RNA, 127 nt
Filed under: Marmota monax (woodchuck)
Lineage: Eukaryota; Metazoa; Chordata; Mammalia; Rodentia; Sciuridae
Source: RNAcentral
GCUGGGUGUGGUGGUGCACACCUGUACUCCCAGAGCCUGGGGAGGCUGAGACAGGAGGAUCGCAAGUUCGAGGCCAGCCUCAGCAACUUAGUGAGGCCCUAAGCAACUCAGUGAGACCCUGUCUCUA